Molecule: long non-coding RNA, 1403 nt
Organism: Mus caroli (Ryukyu mouse)
Lineage: Eukaryota; Metazoa; Chordata; Mammalia; Rodentia; Muridae
Source: RefSeq, a predicted model, not a curated record
GCAAGAGGCUCAGCUGGGUAGGGACGUUGGGGUCGCGGCCCUCGGGAUGGGGGGUGGUGCAUUCGGGAUGUCAGUAACCUGCGCAGUUUGGGCUCCGCCCCAAACAGGGGGCGUCUUCCAGUGUCCCCAGACUUUGAAGAGAGUGGGGAAGGGGCCUUCAGGGGGUCCCUGCAGGAAGGGAGCGCAGAGGCAGCGGCCGGCCCAGCGAGCAUCAUCACUUCCGUUUGUCCAUGGCCCAGGCCUUCUCUGAAGCUGUAUUCUUCUCUGGCUCUGCUGACACCUUUCCUAGCAAGGAAGUGGUAUAAAAUGCUUGCUGAUGGCCACCUGCCCCAGGACUCCCCACUCACCAUUGUUGUUGAGCUCUUGGGGUUUCCAAGAUACCUGUGGCUCUCAGGCCCUCCCUUCUGUCCCUGCCCCCUGCAGAGAAUGAUCUGGAAGGAUUCUCUGUUUUGGAAUCUCCAUCUCUGAGAGCUGUUCUCCUUUCAUUUCUGUUGCUCUGAUGAAACAACCUACGGAAAAAAACAGCUUAAUAGAGAAGGGAUUAUUUUAGCUCUACCCCUUGAGGUUACUAUCUGUGACUGUGGGGUUGUCGUAGGAGGGCACAGCUAAUCACAUCACAUCCAUGGUCAGUCAAGAGCAGAGAUCCAGGGAUGCAUGUAGUUUACUUGAUUACCCUGCUAGAUUUCUCCACUCUUAUGUAGUUCAGGGAAUGGUGCCACCCAUGGUGGGCAAAGUCUUUCCACAUCAAUUGCCUUAAGACAAUCCCACAGAGAUGCUGGACAGCUAAAUGUAAGUAACCCCUCACAGAGAUUAUUUUUCCAAGUGAGUCUAGCUUGUGUCAAGUUGACAGUUAAAGCUAGCCAUCCUAAAAGCCACGGGGUCCUAGAAAACAGGGAAAGGUCCUCAGAAAACGCAGUUAUCCCCAGCUCUUCUCCCAGAGCUGGAUAUCUUGUACCUGCAUCCCUCCCUAAGAUGCUGAAGACACUCUUAGUCUACAAGUUCAACACCGUGAACCUCCCCCUCCCACCAACGAGGCUCAAGAGAACCAGAGAAGUAGAGAGACAUAUAGGUAGCGUCAAAAUGAGGAAAGAGGGCUGUCAUCGUUUUUACCAGCUUGACACAUAACUGGGUGGGGAACUCAGUAGAGGAACUGCCUCCAUUAGAUUGAUCCAUGGGCGCAUCUGUGGAGUAUUUUCUUAAUUGCCAAUGGAUGUAGGAGGGUCUAGCCCACUGUGGAUGGUGCCAUCUUUGCAUAGAUAGGCCUGAACAGUGUAAGAAAAGCAAUCUGUGGAAGCUAAGCCCGAAUGCCAGAAAACAGUGUUCCUCCAUGAUCCGUGUUUCUGCCUCCAGGUUCCUGCGUUGGUUUCCCUGGAUGAUGGGCUGUAACCUCUAACCCAGUAAAG